This 443-nucleotide ribosomal RNA is filed under the name uncultured bacterium. RNAcentral's name for it is "partial 16S ribosomal RNA". It matches the Rfam family "Bacterial small subunit ribosomal RNA", at positions 338 to 795 of the family's 1533-position model. The record is from RNAcentral.
CCUACGGGAGGCUGCAGUGGGGAAUAUUGGGCAAUGGAGGAAACUCUGACCCAGCAACGCCGCGUGAAUGAUGAAGGUCUUCGGAUUGUAAAGUUCUUUUCUAAGGGAAGAAGAAAGUGACGGUACCUUAGGAAUAAGACUCGGCUAACUACGUGCCAGCAGCCGCGGUAAUACGUAGGAGGCAAGCGUUAUCCGGAAUGACUGGGCGUAAAGGGUGCGUAGGUGGUGUGAUAAGUUGGUAGCGUAACUCCGAGGCUCAACCUCGGCACUACUACCAAAACUGUCGGACUUGAGUGCAGGAGGGGCAACUGGAAGUCCUAGUGUAGCGGUGGAAUGCGUAGAUAUUAGGAGGAACACCAGUGGCGAAGGCGAGUUGCUGGACUGUAACUGACACUGAGGCACGAAAGCGUGGGGAGCAAACAGGAUUAGAUACCCGGGUAGUC